CCUACGGGAGGCAGCAGUGAGGAAUAUUGGUCAAUGGGCUUACUCCUGAACCAGCCAAGUCGCGUGAGGGAAGACUGCCCUAUGGGUUGUAAACCUCUUUUGUCAGGGAGCAACGCCGGCUACGUGUAGCCGGACUGAGAGUACCUGAAGAAAAAGCAUCGGCUAACUCCGUCCCAGCAGCCGCGGUAAUACGGAGGAUGCGAGCGUUAUCCGGAUUUAUUGGGUUUAAAGGGUGCGUAGGCGGAAUGCCAAGUCAGCGGUAAAAUCGCGGGGCUCAACCUCGCUCCGCCGUUGAAACUGGCGUUCUUGAGUGGGCGAGAAGUAUGCGGAAUGCGUGGUGUAGCGGUGAAAUGCAUAGAUAUCACGCAGAACUCCGAUUGCGAAGGCAGCAUACCGGCGCCCAACUGACGCUGAAGCACGAAAGCGUGGGUAUCGAACAGGAUUAGAUACCCCAGUAGUC
RNAcentral lists this ribosomal RNA (460 nucleotides) under uncultured bacterium. RNAcentral describes it as "partial 16S ribosomal RNA". It matches the Rfam family "Bacterial small subunit ribosomal RNA", at positions 338 to 795 of the family's 1533-position model. The record is from RNAcentral.